RNAcentral lists this ribosomal RNA (1030 nucleotides) under Neoroussoella sp. Its description in RNAcentral is "SSU rRNA". It matches the Rfam family "Eukaryotic small subunit ribosomal RNA", at positions 62 to 1100 of the family's 1831-position model. The record is from RNAcentral. Lineage: Eukaryota; Fungi; Ascomycota; Dothideomycetes; Pleosporales; Thyridariaceae.
AGUAUAAGCAAUUAUACCGUGAAACUGCGAAUGGCUCAUUAAAUCAGUUAUCGUUUAUUUGAUAGUACCUUACUACUUGGAUACCCGUGGUAAUUCUAGAGCUAAUACAUGCAAAAAACCCCAACUUCGGGAGGGGUGUAUUUAUUAGAUAAAAAACCAAUGCCCUCCGGGGCUCUCUGGUGAUUCAUGAUAACUUAACGGAUCGCAUGGCCUUGCGCCGGCGACGGUUCAUUCAAAUUUCUGCCCUAUCAACUUUCGAUGGUAAGGUAUUGGCUUACCAUGGUUUCAACGGGUAACGGAUUUUUAGGGAAAGAUCCCGGAGAAGGAGCCUGAGAAACGGCUACUACAUCCAAGGAAGGCAGCAGGCGCGCAAAUUACCCAAUCCCGACACGGGGAGGUAGUGACAAUAAAUACUGAUACAGGGCUCUUUUGGGUCUUGUAAUCGGAAUGAGUACAAUUUAAAUACCUUAACGAGGAACAAUUGGAGGGCAAGUCUGGUGCCAGCAGCCGCGGUAAUUCCAGCUCCAAUAGCGUAAUAUUAAAGUUGUUGCAGUUAAAAAGCUCGUAGUUGAACCUUGGGCCUGGCUGGCCGGUCCGCCUCACCGCGUGUACUGGUCCGGCCGGGCCUUUCCUUCUGGAGAACCGCAUGCCCUUCACUGGGUGUGCCGGGGAACCAGGACUUUUACUUUGAGAAAAUUAGAGUGUUCAAAGCAGGCCUUUGCUCGAAUACGUUAGCAUGGAAUAAUAGAAUAGGACGUGCGGUCCUAUUUUGUUGGUUUCUAGAACCGCCGUAAUGAUUAAUAGGGAUAGUCGGGGGCGUCAGUAUUCAAUUGUCAGAGGUGAAAUUCUUGGAUCUAUUGAAGACUAACUACUGCGAAAGCAUUCGCCAAGGAUGUUUUCAUUAAUCAGUGAACGAAAGUUAGGGGAUCGAAGACGAUCAGAUACCGUCGUAGUCUUAACCGUAAACUAUGCCGACUAGGGAUCGGGCGAUGUUUCUAUAUUGACUCGCUCGGCACCUUACGAGAAAUCA